CUUGGCGACCAUAGCGUUUUGGACCCACCUUACUCCAUUCCGUCCUCAGAAGUGAAGAGAAAUAGCGCCGAUGGUAGUGUGGGGCUUCCCCAUGUGAGAGUAGGACAUCGCCAGGC
RNAcentral lists this ribosomal RNA (116 nucleotides) under Vibrio parahaemolyticus. Lineage: Bacteria; Pseudomonadati; Pseudomonadota; Gammaproteobacteria; Vibrionales; Vibrionaceae. The record is from RNAcentral.